UACAGAGGUCCCGAGCGUUGUUCGGAUUCACUGGGCGUAAAGGGUGCGUAGGUGGCCUGAAAAGUUUGAUGUGAAAGCUCAGGGCUUAACCCUGAAAUGGCAUUGAAUACUGUUGGGCUGGAGGUUUGGAGGGGGGACUGGAAUUCUUGGUGUAGCAGUGAAAUGCGUAGAUAUCAAGAGGAACACCAGUGGCGAAGGCGAGUCCCUGGACAACACCUGACACUGAGGCACGAAAGCUAAGGGAGCAAACAGG
This 253-nucleotide ribosomal RNA is filed under the name uncultured bacterium. RNAcentral's name for it is "partial 16S ribosomal RNA". It matches the Rfam family "Bacterial small subunit ribosomal RNA", at positions 524 to 776 of the family's 1533-position model. The record is from RNAcentral.